GCUGAGUGUGGUGGCGCACACCUAUAGUCCCAGCUACUCGGGAGGCUGAGGCGGAAGGAUUGCUUGAGCCCAGGAGUUUGAGGCUGUAGUGAGCUAUGAUUGCACCACUGCACUCUAGCCUGGGUGACAGAGUGACACUCUGUCUCUA
RNAcentral lists this non-coding RNA (148 nucleotides) under Pan troglodytes (chimpanzee). The record is from Rfam by way of RNAcentral. Lineage: Eukaryota; Metazoa; Chordata; Mammalia; Primates; Hominidae.